Molecule: long non-coding RNA, 1045 nt
Organism: Lactuca sativa (garden lettuce)
Lineage: Eukaryota; Viridiplantae; Streptophyta; Magnoliopsida; Asterales; Asteraceae
Source: RefSeq, a predicted model, not a curated record
AGGUUAGUUUGGUCAUUUCAAAAAGGUAAAAGAAAUUAGGGAUUUUAUGCCCCCGUCGUCAUUUGUUGCUCGAUCAAGGAAAAGAAACGGGACCAUCCACUGUAGUCAAGAAGGAAGCACGAUGGCAGCUAGGGGUCCGACGAUUUCGGAUCGAUUACAGGCAAAGGGGGAUCUCCGGUGGUCAACGAGACCGAAGAACGAAGGGAGAAGCAGCGAGGAUGCGCUCUUCUCGUCCGACUGCGAGGUACGAAGGUAAAGUUGUCCGGGAGGGGAUAGGCAGCAGCGACGUCGCAGGUAGGCUCCGGUGGGGUUUAAUCGACGGAAGAAGAAGAGAAGGGUGCGAGGGGUGAGGCCAGAAGAGAUUUCGUCGGUCUCGGUGGGUGCAGCGAUGGCCUGCUCAUUCUUUGAUUCCAGCAGUAAGGUUUGUGAAGGAGUGGGAUACGAAAGGUGUUAUGGGUUCGCUGUGGACACGACGAGAAGGAAGAGACGGAGGGCGUCUUGGUGGUCAGAAAACACUCCAUCAAUGGAGGAAAAAGAGAUGUUUCUUGGCAGCAACCGAAGUAGAAGAAGAAGAACGGCAGAAGUGUCUUUACAGGCGUUUGUUUGCUCGAUGUUCAAUAGGAGAAAGAAUGAAGAAAUCAGUGAUUGUUUGGAUUUGUUGUGAUCGACGGGAAGGAGGGAAAGGAAACAAGGUUGUUCUUCUUGUUUGCAGAUAGUCGCGAGAACAAGAACAAAAUUGUUCUUGGCUGGAAACAAAGAUGCAGGCAGAAAAAAUCUGGAGGUGUUUUGGGUGGUUUCUUGGUUGAAGGAAGAAUGCAAGUAAACUUCAAUUUGUCAGCCAACUAAGGAGAUUUGCAAGUAGUGUUUUGUGUACUUUGAUUGAAUUGUGGAAGCAAAAAUCAUUUCCAUUUUGUUUGUGUGUUGACUUGGGUAAGUUAGAUUGUGGAAGUAGGACUUUAAAUUUGGCUGUAUUUUUUAUUUGAAUAUGCAUAUAUUUAGUGUUGUUAUAUGAUUUAAAUUACAUAACAUAACUGCAUUUUGAUUA